This 354-nucleotide ribosomal RNA is filed under the name uncultured bacterium. RNAcentral's name for it is "partial 16S ribosomal RNA". It matches the Rfam family "Bacterial small subunit ribosomal RNA", at positions 338 to 692 of the family's 1533-position model. The record is from RNAcentral.
CCUACGGGAGGCAGCAGUGAGGAAUAUUGGUCAAUGGGCGCGAGCCUGAACCAGCCAAGUCGCGUGAGGGAAGACGGUCCUAUGGAUUGUAAACCUCUUUUGUCGGGGAGCAAAAGACGCCACGCGUGGCGUUCCGAGAGUACCCGAAGAAAAAGCAUCGGCUAACUCCGUGCCAGCAGCCGCGGUAAUACGGAGGAUGCGAGCGUUAUCCGGAUUUAUUGGGGUUAAAGGGUGCGCAGGCGGAAGAUCAAGUCAGCGGUAAAAUGUAGAGGCCCAAACUCUUCGAGCCGUUGAAACUGGUUUUCUUGAGUGAGCGAGAAGGAGGCGGAAAGCGGGGUGUAGGCGGGAAAAGGA